CAAAUACUCCCUCCGUCCCAAAAUUCUUGUCUUAGAUUUGUUUAGAUAUGAAUGUAUCUAGUCAAGUUUUAGUAUUUAGAUACAUCCAUUUUUAGACAAAGCUAAGACAAGAAUUUUGAGACGGAGGGAGUAUAAU
Molecule: microRNA precursor, 136 nt
Filed under: Hordeum vulgare
Lineage: Eukaryota; Viridiplantae; Streptophyta; Magnoliopsida; Poales; Poaceae
Description: microRNA MIR1122
Rfam family: MIR1120/MIR1122 microRNA precursor family
Source: RNAcentral